RNAcentral lists this long non-coding RNA (495 nucleotides) under Vigna radiata. Its description in RNAcentral is "long non-coding RNA (VRAD_LNC000679)". The record is from RNAcentral. Lineage: Eukaryota; Viridiplantae; Streptophyta; Magnoliopsida; Fabales; Fabaceae.
CUGAAGUAUCAAGCAGUUACCGUGUAGAAAAGUCAAACAGAAUGCAGAAAAGUCAACCAGUGAACCAAAAUGCUGAAAAGUUGACCAGAGUGCAGAAAAGGUAACGUUGAGCGCUAGCUUCGGGACCAAUUUUCACUGUUUUGACGCCUAGGCACCGCUGAGGGGUGAUUCUGGGAGCCGCACCUACCGCUGAGCGGUGGUUUGAGUGCUGAGCGCCAUUUCCUUGGACUUGGGCCUGUUUUUCUGUUAUUUUAUGAUCUAUUUUGGGCCUGGACCUGUUUUCUGUUAUUUUUAUGCCCUAUUUAAAGGCCAGAACGUCUUUGAGAAUGUAUCUUUUGAUGGUUUAGCCACACAAACAUAUUUUUCACCCUUUUGGGGGCAAAAUUAGGGAAUUGACAACUCUCAUUUCCUCCUCUUAGGGUUUCUAUCUCUUUCAUUCCAUUGUACACCUAGUUCUUCCAUGACAAUGGAGAACUAAUCUUAUUUGUUGCUGGG